GGCGCGGGCCAUUUGUAGCUAAUGGCGGGUGCUUGGUCCGCUGAUAGUUGUGAAGGAUGCUCCUCUACUAGCUGUACGUGCGGCCACAAGGGCAAGUGGGGCGACUCCUCGCUGUUAGGCAAGCGGCUCUCGGAAGACUCGAGCCGCCACCAGCUGCUGCAGAAGUGGGCGAGCAUGUGGAGCUCCGUGAGCGGAGACGCGUCGGUGGCCUGCCCUGAGAGGACGCGGCGCGAGGAGGCUGCGGACCCGGCGGAGGAGGACAGGCCGCUGGUGUUUCUGUGCUCGCGCUGCCGGCGGCCGCUGGGAGACUCGCUGAGCUGGGUGGCGAGCCAGGAAGACACCAAUUCCAUCUUGCUUCGCUGUGUUACCUGUAAUGUUUCUGUGAAUGAGGAACAGAUACUAUCCAAACGUAAAAAUGAAAAUGGUUGCGUCCUGGAGACCUUGCACUGCGCAGGAUGCUCGCUCAGCCUCGGCUACCGGUACAGGUGCACACCCAAGGGCCUGGACUACAAGCGGGACUUGUUCUGCCUCAGUGUCGAAGCUGUUGAAAGUGGCAUAAACAGCAGACAUUUAUUUCACGUGGUUCUGGAGGCGGGAAGUCCGAGAUAAGCUGGCAACAGGCUCUGUGUAAGAACGCUUCCUGGUUUGCAGAUUUACCUUGUCCUGUGUGUUCGUGUGGCCUUUCCUUGGUAGUUUGUUUCAUGAAGACUUCAUAUUAAAGUUCAAGUGGAUGAAUGCAAAAGUCUUCAUGACCUUAAUGCCACUGGAGCUGGACAACUGUUAGCCUACGAAGUAGAAGACUAAGAAGGUCAGUAUUAGGACACUGCCUCUUGCCUUCUCCCCUGCCUCUUGGAGAUGGGGAGCACACAGUAGAUGUCCCUGUGGUCACCGAUGGAGGCGUAAACAGCACAGGACACAGAGAGGAGAGGCUGAGGACCUCCCACCCACCCACAGGAGACCUUGGCACCACCAGCCUGCCAGCGAUGCAGCCUGCAAGAAGACCUGCAUGGUAAUUCUCAGAUUCCUAAAGAAAAUAACUUUCUAUUCCCACCCCCAUAGGAAGAUGUCUUGGGUUAGAAAAAAAGGAGUGAAUGCAAAAUUAUAAAGACAAUGAGUCUGAGUUCCCUGAUAAGUGCGUUAGGAAGCUUGCAUAUUUUCCAUCCCUGGAGAGGUCCAGAAACUGGAACUUGGUGUGGCAGGAGGCCGACUGAGUUAAGUAAGGGAGGAAGCAAAGGCUAUUUCUGUUACAGGCUGGAAUGGACUGACAAGAGCCCACUCGUUUUACUAGAGCAGGGACGGACAAGUGCUAGGCUUUUUACAGGCCUUUCUUUGUUGUAGAUACAUCUGUCGCAAUUACUUUAAGUUCUCCCAGCUUAUUUAAGUAUGAUAUAUGCAUGCUCAGUCACUCAGGCAUGUCCGAUUCUUUGCGACCCCAUGGACUGUAGCCUGCCAGGCUCCUCUGUCCAUGGGAUUCUCCAGGCAAGAAUACCAGAGUGGGUGCCAUGCCCUCCUCCAGAGGAUCUUCCCCACCCAGGGAUGGAAGCUGUGUCUCUUAUGUCUCCUGCAUUGGCGGGCAGGUUCUUUCCCUCUUUACCCGGGAAACCCAAGUAUGAUAUAUAGUGCUGACCAAUUAAACAUCCCAGUACAUUUCGUACUUCUUUUAAACUAUUAACAUUUGAUGAUGGUGUGGAAGAAGGGGAGCCCUAUUAGUAAAAUUGGCCUAUCGUUUAUUUGCUAUUUGUAAAGAAAGACUUAUCAUACCUGAUAAAUAUAAGAAGGAGUGUCCUAAUACAGACCAUAAACAGUGGCAGGAAUGCUUCUAAGAGUCCAGGAGUCACUAAUCCCAGUGCACGUGGAGACCAUCUCCUGCCUGCAGGAAAUAGAGUCUGGAAGAGGGCAUUCGUUUGAGGUAAAUGGCUGACUUUGGGGGUUGCCUUCAAAUAUCAAGUUUCUAUUUUUGUUUGAUGACUGCAUUUUUUUCAGUUGCUGAUAAAUCGUAAGCAGAGGGACAGACUGUUAUGGGUUUAUCCUCUUAAAUGUUAAGUUCAUGGAGAGAUGCACGAAAGCUCCAUUUGAGGGCUAAGAGGUUAAAGGUUAUGUCUCUGUUUUGAGCUUUCCAGAUCCCAGAAUAAAGUGCUUAGGGGGAAUCAUUUUUUUUUUAAAAGUUUGAAGCAUAGCUAAUUUACAAUGCUGUCUUAGUUUCUAGUGGACAACAAAGUGAUUAAAUUUUGCGUAUAUAUGUAUGCAUUCUUUUUGAUAUUCUUUCCCAUUGUAGUUUAUUACAAGAUAUUGGAUAUAGUUCCCUGUGCUACACAAUAGGACCUUGUUGUUUAUAGAUUUUAUAUAUAUAUAUUGGUUUGUAUCUGCCAAUCCCAAACUCCUCAUUUAUCUCUCCCACCUUUUCCCUUUGGUAACCAUAAAUUUGUUUUCUGUGUCUGUGUUUCUGUUUUGUAAAUAAGUUCAUUUGUAUCACUUGUUUAGUUUCCACGUUUAAGUGAUAGCAUAUUAUAUUGGUCUUUCUGUGUCUGACUGACUUCACUAAGUAUGACAAUCUCUAGGUCUACCCAUGUUGGUGCAAAUGGCAUUGUUUCAUUCUUUGUUAUGGCUGAGUAAAA
This is an RNA transcript of Dama dama (fallow deer), 2615 nucleotides long. It is a transcript of the gene named MIS18 kinetochore protein A, with no coding region annotated. NCBI's taxonomy places the organism in Eukaryota, Metazoa, Chordata, Mammalia, Artiodactyla, Cervidae. The transcript is spliced from 6 exons. The record is from RefSeq and is a predicted model, not a curated record.